GAUGAACGCUGGCGGCGUGCCUAAUACAUGCAAGUCGAGCGAACAGACGAGGAGCUUGCUCCUCUGACGUUAGCGGCGGACGGGUGAGUAACACGUGGAUAACCUACCUAUAAGACUGGGAUAACUUCGGGAAACCGGAGCUAAUACCGUAUAAUAUAUUGAACCGCAUGGUUCAAUAGUGAAAGACGGUUUUGCUGUCACUUAUAGAUGGAUCCGCGCCGCAUUAGCUAGUUGGUAAGGUAACGGCUUACCAAGGCAACGAUGCGUAGCCGAACUGAGAGGGUGAUCGGCCACACUGGAACUGAGACACGGUCCAGACUCCUAAGGGAGGCAGCAGUAGGGAAUCUUCCGCAAUGGGCGAAAGCCUGACGGAGCAACGCGGCGUGAGUGAUGAAGGUCUUCGGAUCGUAAAACUCUGUUAUUAGGGAAGAACAAAUGUGUAAGUAACUAUGCACGUCUUGACGGUACCUAAUCAGAAAGCCACGGCUAACUACGUG
RNAcentral lists this ribosomal RNA (497 nucleotides) under uncultured bacterium. RNAcentral describes it as "partial 16S ribosomal RNA". It matches the Rfam family "Bacterial small subunit ribosomal RNA", at positions 28 to 507 of the family's 1533-position model. The record is from RNAcentral.